CCUACGGGAGGCAGCAGUAGGGAAUAUUGCUCAAUGGGGGAAACCCUGAAGCAGCAACGCCGCGUGGAGGAUGACGGUUUUCGGAUUGUAAACUCCUUUUGUUAGAGAAGAUAAUGACGGUAUCUAACGAAUAAGCACCGGCUAACUCCGUGCCAGCAGCCGCGGUAAUACGGAGGGUGCAAGCGUUACUCGGAAGCACUGGGCGUAAUGGGCGCGUAGGCGGGAUAGCAAGUCAGAUGUGAAAUCCUAUGGAUUAACCAUAGAACUGCAUUUGAAACUGUUGUUCUAGAGGAGGGGAGAGGGAGGUGGAAUUCUUGGUGUAGGGGUAAAAUCCGUAGAGAUCAAGAUGAAUACUCAGUGCGAAGGCGACCUGCUAGAACCGAACGGACGCUGAUGCGCGAAAGCGUGGGGAGCAAACAGGAUUAGAUACCCUAGUAGUC
This 440-nucleotide ribosomal RNA is filed under the name uncultured bacterium. RNAcentral's name for it is "partial 16S ribosomal RNA". It matches the Rfam family "Bacterial small subunit ribosomal RNA", at positions 338 to 795 of the family's 1533-position model. The record is from RNAcentral.